UACGUAGGGCGCAAGCGUUGUCCGGAUUCACUGGGUGUAAAGGGUGCGUAGGCGGGAAGGUAAGUCCGCGGUGAAAUCUCACAGCUCAACUGUGAAACUGCCGUUGAUACUGCUUUUCUUGAGUUCGGGAGAGGUUGAUGGAAUUCCAGGUUGUAGCGGUGAAAUGCGUGGAUAUCUGGAAGAACACCAGUGGCGAAGGCGGUCAACUGGCCCGUAACUGACGCUGAGGCACGAAAGCGUGGGGAGCGAACAGG
This 254-nucleotide ribosomal RNA is filed under the name uncultured bacterium. RNAcentral's name for it is "partial 16S ribosomal RNA". It matches the Rfam family "Bacterial small subunit ribosomal RNA", at positions 524 to 776 of the family's 1533-position model. The record is from RNAcentral.